Molecule: ribosomal RNA, 1481 nt
Filed under: uncultured marine bacterium
Lineage: Bacteria
Description: bacterial SSU rRNA
Rfam family: Bacterial small subunit ribosomal RNA
Source: RNAcentral
GAGUUUGAUCCUGGCUCAGGAUGAACGCUAGCGGCAGGCUUAACACAUGCAAGUCGAGGGGUAACGGGGAAGCUUGCUUCCGCCGACGACCGGCGCACGGGUGCGUAACGCGUAUACAAUCUACCUUGUACUGGGGUAUAGCCUUUAGAAAUGAAGAUUAAUCCCCCAUAGUCUCUUAGAGUGGCAUCACUUCUAGAGUAAAGGUUACGGUAUAAGAUGAGUAUGCGUUCUAUUAGUUUGUUGGUGUGGUAACGGCACACCAAGACUACGAUAGAUAGGGGCCCUGAGAGGGGGAUCCCCCACACUGGUACUGAGACACGGACCAGACUCCUACGGGAGGCAGCAGUGAGGAAUAUUGGACGAUGGAGGCAACUCUGAUCCAGCCAUGCCGCGUGCAGGAAGACUGCCCUAUGGGUUGUAAACUGCUUUUAUACAGGAAGAGACACCUCUACGUGUAGAGGCUUGACGGUACUGUAAGAAUAAGGAUCGGCUAACUCCGUGCCAGCAGCCGCGGUAAUACGGAGGAUCCAAGCGUUAUCCGGAAUCAUUGGGUUUAAAGGGUCCGUAGGUGGAUAACUAAGUCAGAGGUGAAAUCUUGCAGCUCAACUGUAAAAUUGCCUUUGAAACUGGUUAUCUUGAGUUAUUAUGAAGUAGUUAGAAUAUGUAGUGUAGCGGUGAAAUGCAUAGAUAUUACAUAGAAUACCAAUUGCGAAGGCAGAUUACUAAUAAUUAACUGACACUGAUGGACGAAAGCGUGGGCAGCGAACAGGAUUAGAUACCCUGGUAGUCCACGCCGUAAACGAUGGUUACUAGCUGUUUGGACUUCGGUCUGAGUGGCUAAGCGAAAGUGAUAAGUAACCCACCUGGGGAGUACGUUCGCAAGAAUGAAACUCAAAGGAAUUGACGGGGGCCCGCACAAAGCGGUGGAGCAUGUGGUUUAAUUCGAUGAUACGCGAGGAACCUUACCAGGGCUUAAAUGUAAGUUGCAUUAGCUAGAGAUAGCUAUUUCUUCGGACCACUUACAAGGUGCUGCAUGGUUGUCGUCAGCUCGUGCCGUGAGGUGUCAGGUUAAGUCCUAUAACGAGCGCAACCCCUGUUGUUAGUUGCCAGCGAGUCAUGUCGGGAACUCUAACAAGACUGCCAGUGCAAACUGUGAGGAAGGUGGGGAUGACGUCGAAUCAUCACGGCCCUUACGUCCUGGGCUACACACGUGCUACAAUGGUAGGUACAGAGAGCAGCCACUGCGCGAGCAGGAGCGAAUCUAUAAAACCUAUCACAGUUCGGAUCGGAGUCUGCAACUCGACUCCGUGAAGCUGGAAUCGCUAGUAAUCGGAUAUCAGCCAUGAUCCGGUGAAUACGUUCCCGGGCCUUGUACACACCGCCCGUCAAGCCAUGGAAGUUGGAAGUGCCUGAAGUCCGUCACCGCAAGGAGCGGCCUAGGGUAAAGUCGAUAACUACGGCUAAGUCGUAACAAGGUAACC